Molecule: non-coding RNA, 46 nt
Filed under: Streptomyces sp. ADI91-18
Lineage: Bacteria; Bacillati; Actinomycetota; Actinomycetes; Kitasatosporales; Streptomycetaceae
Source: RNAcentral
CUUGAGGGAGCCCAGCCACAGCGGCCGGUCCGCGGGGCGGUCCUGG